CGAACAUUGCGCCCCUCGGUAUUCCUUGGGGCAUGCCUGUUCGAGCGUCAUUUACACAAUCAAGCCCUGCUUGGUGUUGGGCGUCUGUCCCGCGCGGACUCGCCUCAAAGCGAUUGGCGGCUAGCAUCACGGCUUGGAGUUGCAGCAGAAUUGCGCUCCUCGUGCGGCGGUGUCGGUCCCGGAAGCACCUAUAUAUAUCGUAUUGACCUCGAAUCAGGUAGGGAUACCCGCUGAACUUAA
This 240-nucleotide unclassified non-coding RNA is filed under the name fungal sp. RNAcentral's name for it is "partial contains 5.8S ribosomal RNA, internal transcribed spacer 2, and large subunit ribosomal RNA". Lineage: Eukaryota; Fungi. The record is from RNAcentral.